RNAcentral lists this ribosomal RNA (468 nucleotides) under uncultured bacterium. Its description in RNAcentral is "partial 16S ribosomal RNA". It matches the Rfam family "Bacterial small subunit ribosomal RNA", at positions 28 to 507 of the family's 1533-position model. The record is from RNAcentral.
GACGAACGCUGGCGGCGUGCUUAACACAUGCAAGUCGAACGGAAAGGCCCUGCUUUUGUGGGGUGCUCGAGUGGCGAACGGGUGAGUAACACGUGAGUAACCUGCCCUUGACUUUGGGAUAACUUCAGGAAACUGGGGCUAAUACCGGAUAGGAGCUCCUGCUGCAUGGUGGGGGUUGGAAAGUUUCGGCGGUUGGGGAUGGACUCGCGGCUUAUCAGCUUGUUGGUGGGGUAGUGGCUUACCAAGGCUUUGACGGGUAGCCGGCCUGAGAGGGUGACCGGCCACAUUGGGACUGAGAUACGGCCCAGACUCCUACGGGAGGCAGCAGUGGGGAAUAUUGCACAAUAGGCGGAAGCCUGAUGCAGCAACGCCGCGUGCGGGAUGACGGCCUUCGGGUUGUAAACCGCUUUCGCCUGUGACGAAGCGUGAGUGACGGUAAUUGGUAAAGAAGCACCGGCUAACUACGUG